RNAcentral lists this ribosomal RNA (465 nucleotides) under Vreelandella stevensii. RNAcentral describes it as "partial 16S ribosomal RNA". It matches the Rfam family "Bacterial small subunit ribosomal RNA", at positions 338 to 795 of the family's 1533-position model. The record is from RNAcentral. Lineage: Bacteria; Pseudomonadati; Pseudomonadota; Gammaproteobacteria; Oceanospirillales; Halomonadaceae.
CCUACGGGAGGCAGCAGUGGGGAAUAUCGGACAAUGGGGGGAACCCUGAUCCAGCCAUGCCGCGUGUGUGAAGAAGGCCCUCGGGUUGUAAAGCACUUUCAGUGAGGAAGAACGCCUGGUGGUUAAUACCCAUCAGGAAAGACAUCACUCACAGAAGAAGCACCGGCUAACUCCGUGCCAGCAGCCGCGGUAAUACGGAGGGUGCGAGCGUUAAUCGGAAUUACUGGGCGUAAAGCGCGCGUAGGUGGCUUGAUAAGCCGGUUGUGAAAGCCCCGGGCUCAACCUGGGAACGGCAUCCGGAACUGUCAAGCUAGAGUGCAGGAGAGGAAGGUAGAAUUCCCGGUGUAGCGGUGAAAUGCGUAGAGAUCGGGAGGAAUACCAGUGGCGAAGGCGGCCUUCUGGACUGACACUGACACUGAGGUGCGAAAGCGUGGGUAGCAAACAGGAUUAGAUACCCCAGUAGUC